Molecule: non-coding RNA, 1956 nt
Organism: Triticum urartu
Lineage: Eukaryota; Viridiplantae; Streptophyta; Magnoliopsida; Poales; Poaceae
Source: Rfam
GGUAAGUAUAUAAAGAAACUAUUACGGAUAAAUAAGCUAUAUAUUAAAGACGUAUAAAAAGUGUUCUUGGAAAAAUCCAUUUUGUAAACGGAGCGAAUUGAAAUAUCUUAGUAGCUUCAGGAAUAAAAAUCAAAUGAGAUUCCGUAAUUAGCUAUAACUGUUAUGGAAAAGCCUUUAAAGUAAAACGGAAAUAAUCUGUUUGAAUUUAGGGAAACCUUUCUCUAAGGCUAAAUAUGAUAUAUAAGCGAUAGUGAAGCAGUACCGUGAGGGAAAUUUUUGAAAUAGUAGUUUUAUAAGCAGCUCAAGUUUAAUUUAAAAGUAUAAUGAGAGCGUACCUUUUGCAUAAUGGGUCAGCAAGUUAAUAUUAGAUGCGAGAAAAAGAGUACAGAAAAGAUUAGGAAGUAAAACUUAAUAUAUUUUUAGUUUAAUGCUAAAAAUUAAAAAGAGAAUGAAAACGAAAUGAGUAAGGUAAUUAACUCUUAUUCCUAGAUAAACCGAUUAUUAAUUAAUGAUUAAGUAUCUAAUAUUAGACCCGAAGCCUAGUGAUCUUACCAUGAUCAGGGUUAUAAAGGCCUGAACGGGUUAUCGUUGUAAAGAUAUCCGAUGAAUUGUGGUAAGUUAGUGAAAGACAAAACUGACUAGGAUAGCUGGUUUUCUGCGAAACCUAUAUAAGUAGGUAAUGUGAAUUACAUCAUAGCAGGUACAGAACUGUGAUCUCGGACAAAGUAUGUUGUUUUCUUAGCGCUUUGCGAGCAAAGCGCUAAGGAUGAUGGCAUGGUUUUUGUAUACAUCGGGGAAUCCCGAAGAUUUUAUCGGCGAGAAUUUGCUCUCGAAAGGGCAAUGAUGGAUUUUGCAUAAUCGGACAUAGUACGAUAAGGUUGUAUGUCUAAAGGGAAACAGCCCAGAACAAGAGUUAAAGGUUCCAAAAUUAUUGUUAAGUGAAAAUAAGGAAGUUUUCUUCAAAUACAACCAGGAAAUAGGCUUAGAAGCGGCCAUUUUUUGAAGACCUCGUAACAGAGCACUGGUUUAACAUUAAAAGUUGAAAGCACCGAAAAUUUAACGGAUCUAAAACAAUAUACCGAAACCUUGUCUAUAAAUAAACCUAUUUUAAGAUUUAUACCAAAUUAUUAUCUUAAGUAUUUUUAUUUAUGGGGUAGCAGAACGUUGGGCAUGUCUUAGACUUAAUGUUUUUAAUAUUAAGUAGGUUAACUCGAUUGUUUAUUAUCUAAACCAAGUAGGUUCAAGACUUAUUUGUUAGGGGUGGUAUAAUGACUUGUUAACAAGAUGACCCCAAGUGAGAAUGCUGGCAUGAGUAACGAAAAAGGGAUAGCCCCUCGCCUUAAGCUUAUGGUAUUUAAAUAAAGUAACGGCCUCUAAGUUUUGUCCUAAAGGAUUAAACGAUGAGAAAAAUCUUCAGGUAUGUCUAACAACAUUGAAAAUUUAAAGACUAGCUUCGUGUAAAAAAAAAAUCAGCACGUUGUGAUGUGUGAGUAAACAGUGUUCUGGAAAAAGGCGACCAAUAUUUAUGAUCGUAACAAUCAACGGUCAGGUCUAACAAAGAUAUAAAUAGUAAAUAACCGUACCUAGAUACUACCACAAGUAAGCAAGUAGAGUAUACAAAGGCGUUUGAGUUAACAAUCAUUAAGGAACUCGGCAAAAUGACACCGUAACUUAGGGAUAAGGUGUGCCAUCCUUAUCGAUGAAUAUAAGAUAAGGAGAGGAGACAUAAAAUGGCGUUGUACGACUGUUUAAUUAAAACAAAGCACUUUGCAUAAGAUGACAAAUCAAAGUAUUGAGUGUGAAUUCUGCCCGAUGUUGGCUGGUUAACGGAUUUUCUUAGCUGACUAAAAUAAGCUAGGUUUUGAAGGAAACCCCAAUCAAUGGCGGCCUUAUCGAUGAGGGUCCUAAGGUAGCGGAAUACCUUGGCCGUUAAAUGCGGUCUUGCAUGAAUGAUUU